CUUUGAUUCCCUUAUGCAGUUUUUCAUUGAGUUUUAGUCACUUAAUACUGAUUUUUGGUCACUUUAUUAACUUUUUUCUAUUUUUAUUCACUUUCUAUUUGCUUUUUAGUCACUUUUUUCAGGUUUUCGGGGUUUUUUUCCCCAUUUGUAUUCACUUCUGUUCGCAUUUAUUCACUUUUUAUUGAGGCAUAAAUACUCACUUUUACUCAAUUUUUUAUUUGCCUGAAUUCACUUUUAAUCGCUUUUUAUUCAGCUGUGUAGGGAACACCUGGUUUCAAUAAGAGCUCAUGAGGCAGAGGGAGGUUUAAAGCUUUGUUUGAAUAAAGGGAGAUCUCCACCAGACACACCUGGUUCAGGGUUCUCCAUUUGCAGUCAGUAUCCACCUAUUUGAUACUUGCCCUGCAUGCAAAGUGCCUCCUCCUUUUUCCUUUGCCUCAGAUCCUCCGAGCCAUUCUACUGUGCAUAAGGGGCAGUUCCCAUGAGAUGGGUGAGUUUCACAAGGUUAAGCAAGUUCUGCAAGGUUUAAUAAGUUCUCGCUUUAUUGACACUGUUUCUUUUUCAUAGAACCACAGGGCUUUUGUAAGAUUCUGCACUUUGUCCCUGUUGUCAGCAGGUUGUGUAUUUUUGGCAAGGCCACAGCUGUUCUCUACAAGCUUUAUGCACAUUUUUGUCACUCUUCAGCUCCCAUGUACUUGCUUUGGAUUUGCUUUUACUUCACUUUUAUGCUGUUUUUUUCAGAUGUAUUUGCUUUUUAGUUCCUUUGAGUGAUCUUCAAUUCAGUUUUAUUCACUUUUCUUGGAGAUUUAUUCAGAUUUAUUCCCUUUUCUUCUUUUUCAUUCACGUUUAAUUGACUUUUAUUCACUUUCAUUGGUGUUUAUUCCCUUUUCAGCUUUAUGCCUGUUGUAUUUAACUGCAGUCCAGUUUAAUGGAGCUGGAGCGACUGCACCGGGCACGGCCCACGCCCCAGGAUGCUCAGGUCCAGGGGCUGGGGCCCUCAGGAUGGACCUGAGCCCCCCGCGAAGUCGUGGGGUCAUAUUUAGAGGAGAAUGGACAUAUGAUGAACCAGCCAUAUGA
Molecule: long non-coding RNA, 1074 nt
Filed under: Strigops habroptila (Kakapo)
Lineage: Eukaryota; Metazoa; Chordata; Aves; Psittaciformes; Psittacidae
Description: lncRNA (ENSSHBG00005007338.1)
Source: RNAcentral